ACUCCUACGGGAGGCAGCAGUGAGGAAUUUUCCGCAAUGGGCGAAAGCCUGACGGAGCAAUGCCGCGUGGAGGACGAAGGCCUGUGGGUUGUAAACUCCUUUUCUCAGAGAAGAAUUUUGACGGUAUUUGAGGAAUAAGCAUCGGCUAACUCCGUGCCAGCAGCCGCGGUAAU
Molecule: ribosomal RNA, 173 nt
Filed under: uncultured bacterium
Lineage: Bacteria
Description: partial 16S ribosomal RNA
Rfam family: Bacterial small subunit ribosomal RNA
Source: RNAcentral